This 164-nucleotide ribosomal RNA is filed under the name Oryza eichingeri. Its description in RNAcentral is "5.8S ribosomal RNA". It matches the Rfam family "5.8S ribosomal RNA". Rfam says of the family: 5.8S ribosomal RNA (5.8S rRNA) is a component of the large subunit of the eukaryotic ribosome. Lineage: Eukaryota; Viridiplantae; Streptophyta; Magnoliopsida; Poales; Poaceae. The record is from RNAcentral. RNAcentral also lists the same sequence under 1 other name.
CACACGACUCUCGGCAACGGAUAUCUCGGCUCUCGCAUCGAUGAAGAACGUAGCGAAAUGCGAUACCUGGUGUGAAUUGCAGAAUCCCGUGAACCAUCGAGUCUUUGAACGCAAGUUGCGCCCGAGGCCAUCCGGCCGAGGGCACACCUGCCUGGGCGUCACGC